Rhea pennata is the source of this 69-nucleotide small nucleolar RNA. RefSeq annotates it as small nucleolar RNA SNORD50. The record is from RefSeq and is a predicted model, not a curated record. The transcript has a single exon. Lineage: Eukaryota; Metazoa; Chordata; Aves; Rheiformes; Rheidae.
AAUCAGUGAAGAGCCUAUCCCGAACCUGAUUGCCUGAAGAAAAAUGUAUAUGAAUAUAAUUUCUGAGAU